CCUACGGGGUGCAGCAGUGGGGAAUAUUGCACAAUGGGGGAAACCCUGAUGCAGCGACGCCCCGUGAGUGAAAAAGUAAUUCGUUACGUAAAGCUCUAUCACCAGGGAAGAAAAUGCCGUUCCCUGAUAAAGACGCCCCGGCGAACUACUUCCCAGCAGCCGCGGUAAUACGUAGGGGGAAAGCGUUAUCCGGAUUUCCGGGGUGUAAAGGGAGCGUAGACGGUGCGCCAAGUCUGGAGUGAAUUGCCGCAGCUUAACUGCGGAACUGUUUUGGAACCUGGCGAACUAGAGUGCGGGAGGGGUAAGCGGAAUUCCUAGUGUAGCGGUGAAAUGCGUAGAUAUUAGGAGGAACACCGGUGGCGAAGGCGGCUUACUGGACCGUAACUGACGUUGAGGCUCGAAAGCGUGGGGAGCAAACAGGAUUAGAUACCCUUGUAGUC
This 440-nucleotide ribosomal RNA is filed under the name uncultured bacterium. RNAcentral describes it as "partial 16S ribosomal RNA". It matches the Rfam family "Bacterial small subunit ribosomal RNA", at positions 338 to 795 of the family's 1533-position model. The record is from RNAcentral.